AAGAGGUGGGAGCGCGAGCUGGGAGCAGCGUCUCGGAGGCGCCGCAGAAUUCACAGAUGGAUUCAGUGGAAAAGACAACAAAUAGAAGUGAACAAAAAUCCAGAAAGUUUUUAAAAAGCCUCAUCCGGAAACAGCCCCAGGAACUGCUCCUGGUUAUCGGGACUGGCGUCAGCGCAGCAGUGGCCCCGGGAAUCCCUGCGCUUUGUUCGUGGAGAAGCUGCAUCGAGGCUGUCAUCGAGGCUGCAGAGCAGCUGGAGGUGCUGCACCCUGGAGACGUCGCCGAGUUCCGGAGGAAAGUGACGAAGGACCGGGACCUGUUGGUUGUCGCCCAUGAUCUGAUCCGGAAGAUGUCACCUCGCACAGGCGACGCCAAGCCCAGCUUCUUCCAGGACUGCCUGAUGGAGGUGUUUGACAACCUGGAGCAGCACAUCCAGAGCCCUCUGGUGCUGCAGUCGAUCCUCAGCCUGAUGGACAGGGGCACCAUGGUCCUGACCACCAACUAUGACAACCUGCUGGAGAUCUUUGGCCAGCAGCAGAACAAGCCCAUGGAGUCUCUGGACUUGAAGGACAAGACCAAGGUAUGGGCUGGGGGUG
Molecule: small RNA, 594 nt
Filed under: Pongo abelii (Sumatran orangutan)
Lineage: Eukaryota; Metazoa; Chordata; Mammalia; Primates; Hominidae
Description: retained intron
Source: RNAcentral